CACUACUCCUGUCCAGUGAAUAUUAGUAGCCUCAUCUUGUUGAGAAGACUGAGGCCAAGAGGUGGAUUGACUAGGCAAAGUCAACACAGUAUGUUAGGUAGAACUCCAACCUAAACAGCUAUUCUUGACCCUAGGUUGACCAUAUGGAAGUGUAUUCUUUGCUUGCUUGUUUGGGUUUGCCAACUUCACUCCUCCCCACACCCCAAAUCAUUUUUCAGCUUAUAAAUCUGAUGGGAUCUGAAAUGAUACAAAAUACUAAGAAAGAAGGUUAAAUGUGAAAGCAAAAUAGCUCAUGCAUUUAUAUCACACUGCUUCAUUGGUGUGAACGGUCUUAAUGAUGAAAUAAGGUUCAGUAACUUUUAAACAAAUCUUAAAGACAUAUGCAUUUACAAUUUUUAUGGUGUUUGUUUCGCUUGGCCCUUUAAGGCAUUUGCCAACUUGGAAUUUCCACUUGUGGGAUAGGUGCUUCGUAACGUUUUUAUGCUGCUUUAUUAACCAUAUAGAGCCCAUGCCCUCUGGCACAAUUAGAAAAUCCAGUUCUCUGGACUGUGGGAGGAAUGAGUUUAAUGAAAAAUAGAAAGCUUUAUGCAGGAAGAGACAUAUGUUUGGUUAUUUACAUGAGUGGCAGCCACUAUAUAAUCUUUGUGUGCUUAGAUCUGUACCCAUGGGUUUUGUAUUUUCUGAUUGAUAUGGUUUGGCUGUGUCCCUACCAAAAUCUCAACUUGAAUUGUAUCUCCCAGAAUUCGGAAUUCCUAAAAAUACGUAUGUCCCCAUCCCCUAAAUUCUAAUUCCAGAGGUAGAUUUAGACACUCCACAGGCUGUCCUUGUGUGUCUUAGAAUUUUACAAAAACAUAUUCUGCCAUUAGGUGGUGCCCAAACCAAAGCUUCUUAGCUGCUGUGCUUAAUUAAGCCACUCCGGAGAACAUUGUCAUUGAGCUUGUUGAGAUAACGUGACUGGUAGGUGUUAUGCUGGUGCUGUCGAGCAGCAAAUCAUUUAAAGCCAAGUGCUACAAUUUGCUGGCUGCCAUCCAGUUCACUGAGUAACUAACUAAGCAGUCACACAUCCAACCCCACAGUGGGGUGCUGUGAACAUGUAUGGAAGCCCCAUAUCUUCAAGGAGGUCCUACCAGGACCACAGGUUACUAAAACUUCUCCGAUAGUGCCCACGGUGAACCCGUAUUAUUGUUCCUCUAUCAGGUAGCUCAAUAUAUAUGAAAAGAUAGUGGAAUCUGCUAGGUGAUACAGGUGAGGGAAGAUCCUUUGAUUUGAGUUGAUGACAGGAAUUCAGCUGAGUCAUGUUUUAGGAUGCAGGCUCAUACCUAGAACCAUCUUGAAAGUACCAUCUGGGAGCAAGAGGGCAGGGCAUGGAUGCCCUGUUGAACAUGGGCUUUGAGGCGAACAGACCUGGGAUGGAUAUCUAGUCCCAGAGUCGUGUGGGAUCUAGGGCUAGAAACUUCACCUUCCUGUAUUAGUUUUCUAUUGCUGCAUAACCAGUUACCACAUAGCUGGUGUCUUAUAAUCACACAUUUAUUAUCUUGUAGCUUCAACAGUCAGGAUCAGCUUAGCUGGAUCCUCUGUUC
RNAcentral lists this long non-coding RNA (1580 nucleotides) under Homo sapiens (human). RNAcentral's name for it is "non-protein coding lnc-UBLCP1-9:1". Lineage: Eukaryota; Metazoa; Chordata; Mammalia; Primates; Hominidae. The record is from RNAcentral.